AAGAGGCUGGGAAGACUGCAGGGGCAGGAACCCCGCCCCCACGCACGCAGACAGAAGACAGGCUUACAGAGAAUGAAGAGUGAAGGGAACAGCAGAUUUGCUGAUCAAACACUAAUGGAGGCCUGAACCAGAUCCUAAGGACGCACAGACAGUGAAGGCCGGAGGCUCCAUCAGGUCCAGGCUGUCCCUCGGGGCCCUGAGAAUAUCAGUGACAAUCAGCCCACAACAUCUCUGAUAAGAAUCACUAUGAACCCUUCCUGGAGAAGGAGGCCAUGGCUGGGAGGACCAAUCAGCUAGCUGCUCACUCUCUGUUAUGAGCCUUCGUGCUGGAGUCUGGGGUCUAGAGGAAGCCUCAUGGCCAAGGAGAGGGAGAGAUGACCCCAGAAGCUCACCGGGGGCCCAGGUUCACCAGCAGCUCCAUCCUCUCCAGGCGAUCCAGGGGGUCCCAUGAAAACAUCAGUUCCUGGUUUUCCUGGAAUCCCAGGUGAGCCAGGAGGGCCCGGGGGACCUGGGGGACCCUUAAAAAAAAAAAAGAUACUCUGUUAAGAAAAAGCAGGGUAGGGGAUAAAAUAUACUAAGCAUAUAUGUUCCCUUCAUUCUCUCUGUUCCUCACAAUAAUACUGCAAGUAGAGACUGGUGUUCCCACUUAGCCGAUGGGGGAAACUGAGGCUCAGUGAGACAAUGUGACUUGGUCUGGGCUUACACACUCACAGCUAAUUAUUAGAAAAGCUGGGACUUGAACCCAGGUCUUUCUGAGCCUAUCAUAUCAUGUUUUCUCCCUAGAUAUAGCUAUAGAAUAAAAAUCCACAAUCAGUUAGAAUUUUCAGAGGUGUCCUGGCUAAUUUAGUUUUCUGAUUACCUGACAGAGCAGUCAAAAACUGCCUGUUGCUAACUCUUAUUAAAAUUCUUCCUGUAGGGGCACCUGGGUGGCUCAGCGGUUGAGCAUCUGCCUUUGGCUCAAGGCAUGACCCUGGGGCCCUGGGAUCCAGUCCCGCACUGGGCUCCCCGCAUGGAGCCUGCUUCUCCCUCUCCCUGU
This is a long non-coding RNA of Canis lupus familiaris (dog), 1036 nucleotides long. RefSeq lists it as uncharacterized. The record is from RefSeq and is a predicted model, not a curated record. The transcript is spliced from 3 exons. Lineage: Eukaryota; Metazoa; Chordata; Mammalia; Carnivora; Canidae.